RNAcentral lists this ribosomal RNA (301 nucleotides) under uncultured bacterium. RNAcentral's name for it is "partial 16S ribosomal RNA". It matches the Rfam family "Bacterial small subunit ribosomal RNA", at positions 509 to 807 of the family's 1533-position model. The record is from RNAcentral.
CAGCAGCCGCGGUAAUACGAAGGGGGCUAGCGUUGUUCGGAUUUACUGGGCGUAAAGGGCGCGUAGGCGGGCGAUUAAGUCAGGGGUGAAAUCCCAAGGCUCAACCUUGGAACUGCCUUUGAUACUGAUUGUCUUGAGUUCGAGAGAGGUAAAUGGAACUGCGAGUGUAGAGGUGAAAUUCGUAGAUAUUCGCAAGAACACCAGUGGCGAAGGCGGCUUACUGGCUCGAUACUGACGCUGAGGCGCGAAAGCGUGGGGAGCAAACAGGAUUAGAUACCCCCGUAGUCCCUGUCUCUUAUAC